CCUUGUACACACCGCCCGUCACACCAUGGAAGUCGGUUUCACCGGAAAACGCUGCGCUAACCGCAAGGAGGCAAGUGUUUAUGGUAAGGCCGAUGACUGGGGUGAAGUCGUAACAAGGUACCC
This 123-nucleotide ribosomal RNA is filed under the name uncultured bacterium. RNAcentral describes it as "partial 16S ribosomal RNA". It matches the Rfam family "Bacterial small subunit ribosomal RNA", at positions 1379 to 1501 of the family's 1533-position model. The record is from RNAcentral.